AAAGGAAAGACUAGAGAGAGAGAGAGACGGUAGAUCUCGGGAGGCUCUGCGCAAACGAGGACGCUCGCUCGUGCUGCUUCUACCCUCGUCUGCACUCAUUGACGUCGCAGCCCCAGCCCGUGAGCGACAACGACGGCACUGCCCCCCACUCCCGACGCUUGCUGCUCGUCGCCGCCGCCGCCGCCUUCGUUCUCCCGACGAGCUGCUUUGCUGUCCAAGCCGCGACGACCACCUCCGACGGCACUGCCCUUUCCUCCCGCCGAACCUAUCUGAUGUCAUUCCUCUCUCUCCCAAAAAAUAAAAUUAAAUAAAUAAAUCCUCCCUCAAAUUUGGGAUUCUGAAGCUGAGAGCCUGUUUUGUGCUGCAUUUCUUCUCUAGUCCUUGAUUUCUUUUGUUCUCUUUUUUUCGCUGGGCCCUGCCCGCGGGAGGCCGUCGUGUCCAUCGCCGAACCUAACGGGCUGUCCCAAGCCGCUGCCGUUGCAUCAUGAUGUCGAGCCUGUUUUCGUUCGCUCGGCGUCCUCAUGGCUUCGUCUUGCAUCGCUACCCCCGGCCGAAAGUCACUACCGAGACGAGAUGAGACGAGCCGCGUCACAAAUCGUCGGCCGAAUCACCGCCGGGUGCACCUCGCCGAACCACCACCGUGGCCAUCCUUUGCCAGGGAGCACCGUGCCGGUCAUCCGUCUAGCCGAUUCCGAUGAAGUCCAUCCUGUGAAUUUAGUAUGUUCCCGAGUAUCUCCGUCUUCAUUGGAAUAUCGGUCAUCUUUGUGUGCUCUACCGUGGAAGCAUUCAAAAAGCCUCAGCUCACCACACCAAGUUACCAACCUUUUUUUCUCUUAUGGGGAGAGAGAGAGAGGUCUGGAAGUAAUACGCUUCCCAGAUAUGGCACACUCAAAGGCCAGAGCAUCAGAAGUUCAGUACGAUGUGUUCUUGAGUUUUAGUGGAGCGGAUACUCGUUUUGACUUCACGGACUUCCUCCAUCAAGGCUUGAAUAAUGCCAGAAUCUUCGUAUUCAGGGACGAAGAUGCAAUUGAGGUGGGUGAUAAGAUUGAUGAGACAAUUCUACAAGCUAUCGACAACUCCAAAAUCUACAUACCCAUCAUCUCUCAUACUUAUCCUGACCGUGAAUGGUGUCUCAUCGAGCUUGAACACAUGAUGUACAAUGUGUUUAGGUCAAAUGGCAAAAAAAGGAUUUUCCCCAUCUUUUAUAAAGUGGAACCUGGGCAUGUUAAACAUCGGACUCCACGCCCCAAAAAUCUUUCCUCCGAAGUCAAACUUAGGGUGUUCAAAGAGGCUCUUGCAAAAGUUGGUCAAAUCAAGGGAUGGAAGGUCGAGGAGGGACAAAGCCAAUCAAAAAUUGUCGAUUUGGUCGUUCGAAAGGUUUUGGAGGAGCUAGGCAGAAAAGAUGAGUCACGGACUGAGCAUCCCAUUGAGCUUGAUGACUUGACACAGUCACUUGAAGACUCUUAUGAUUGUGCAGUGAUGCGGUAUGCCGGAAGAGAGAGUCUAAGCAGAGGAAGUAUAGGGAGAGGGACGAGUCUAAGCAGUAAUAGUACAGAGAGGAGAUGGAGUAAUCUAAGCAUAAAUAGGAUGGAGGGCAUGGACAUGGAGGAGGCUAGGGUGAGUACAGGGAGGAGUGGAAUCAAAGGGAGUCUAAGCAUAAAUGGGAUGGAGGAUAUGUACAUGGAGGAGGGCAGUGGGAGUACAGGGGGAGAAGGGGAAGCAGCAGAAGCGGAGGGAGCAGUGGAAGCAGCAGAAGGACUAGCAGCAGCUGAAGAGGGAGGAGCGGGAGCAGUGGAAGCAGCAGGGAAUAGCAGCAGGGAAGAGGAAGCGGGGGAAGCAGUGAGAGGAAGUUUUCAAGAUAUUUGUUUGGGGACGUUCUUGGUGUGCCUUCUUUAUGCAUUGUGUUUUAGCCUUUCUCUGCUUAAAAACAAGGAAACAAGUCGAUAAACGGAUGGGUUAUGGAUGCUUCUUUCGUUUUUUGAUCAGCAUGGGAUGCUAAAUGGCGCCGGUCAAACUUGUAAGGAGAGUUUCCAUAGAUUUGAUAAGUAUCUCAACUUCUGUAAUUCAAUCAUCUCGAGAAUUCUGAUCCCUGUGCUUGUGGUCGGGCAUAUGGUAUGAAAAUAUUUGAUCUCAAAGAGUGGAAGAAGAGAAACAUCAUGGGAAUACAUCACCGAUAGCAGGAAAUGAACAAGGAUAGGACAUUGUGGAUAGUCGGCGUCUUACCCCUUGGAUUGGUCACUUUCUACAAUCUGACUAAAUAGUUCAAUCAGAGGUGGCAUCUGUUUAGACUCAGCUAUGAUCCAGCACUCAACCGGACAGAAAUGGACAAUGCAGCAGUCAUUUACAAUGGAAACUGUAAACCAUGGUUGGAGUUGGCAGUCUCCAACUAUUUUGUAAAUCUACGAUCAGUCUUGAGUGUAUGCAUAAUAAACCAAUCAAAGAGAAGGAACUUUGCCAUGCAAUUACAUUUCAAUUUGACGUUCCUGAGAAUUGCCGACACAGUCUUGUAGGUUAGAGAACUGUCCUCCAAUGGAAGAUGGCAUGAAGUGUUAGUCCACUUUAACAAAGCGAAGUGAGCAGGAAUUGAAAUCACUGAGCCUUCCAUGAUUAAUUCUGUUGUCAUAGCGUCGUCAAAGCGUCUUUCAAAGGUAUCCAAUAAACAAGGGAAGUCCAUCCAUGCUUGUGUGCUCAAGCAGGGUCUCGACAACAUUCUCUUCCAUCAGCAAUUCUGUCAUGGAUUCGUACAUGAAGUGCAGGGACUUGGAAUCCGCAUUGGGCGCCUUCCGGUCAAUGCAAAGCAGGGACUCCGUGUCGCAGAAUGUGCUCACUCGUAGGUUUCUUCAUCAGGGAAAUUUGGAAUGAAGGUUGUCAUGAUUUCGGUGAGCCCAAGUUGAUGGAUUCGAACCCAAUGUUUCCCCUUUGGUACUGGUUCUCCAGGCGCAUAUGUGGAUGUUGAUAUGGAGUGAGCAGAUGGACUUUCAUAUGCUCUUGAAGUUCAUCAAUGAGUGGAGUGGACACAUUGAUCUCGAUUCAAUCUUAGGAAUGCAGAGACAUUAUGCAAAUGUGCAGGGAUAGUUUGUUCAAAACAGAGAUGAGCAUGAAAAGGCACAAGGUUUCAGGAUGUACCCGGACAAGAUAUGAUGAAUUAUGAUCACCUGACUUAAUGUGAAAAACAUCAGAUCAGCAUUUAAAUUAGGGGGAAAAUCUCUCCUUCCUCCGCCAAUGAGGUGUGUUGAGGCCGUCAAAUUUAUCACUAAAGGAUGUAUCAUUAAGCCCAAUUAAGUAUUGGAGAUAACACGUUCCAUUUUCUUUUCUCACGGGGGGAUAAUUGAGGCAAGUCCUGAUGAAUGAAGACAUGAAGCAAAAUGAAAUUGAUUCAACACAAGAAGGGUGUAUCGUUCCUAAAUUAGUCCAAUUCAAGUUUGAAAUGCAAGUAACAUGUCCCAUCUCUUGUAGGACAAGGUGCACAUCAACCGCGGGAACGACGCCUUCUACCAAGUUGGCAUGCUAAGGCCAUCCAUUUUGUUGUAAAGGAUGUAUAUCGUUCCUAAAAUGAUUUCUAGUCAAGUGUGGAAAUAACAUGCCCAGUCUUCUAAAUGUCUCUUUGAGAUGAGCAUUUGAAAAGAGCAAGAAUUGAACUUUGUGGAUUAUCGUAUGCAGUAAAGAAAUGUUUUUCAUAAAUAAAAUCAAGGCCAUAGAGACAUUUUUCAAGCAAUCCUGUCACUUUAGGUGAUUUAUGUCAUGCAUAUCAUGCAUAUAUCCUUCAUAAUAUUUUCCUAACGUGUGUCGCCUUCAUUCUUGAUAGGAAAUGUCAUACCCGAAGAACAAAAACACGUGAAGGAGUCUUGACCGUAUAAAUAUGUCGUCGGCUUUUGGAAGGUACAAAUGCUCAAUACUAGACAUGCAAGCUAGGUUGCUGUUAGACACGCUGGGGAAGAGUAUUGAGUCUGCUUUGCAUUAGUAGCUGAGCCAUGGCAGGCAUCCAGUGAAAUGUUUCCUGGAAUUGAUCCUUGUAGGAGAUAUGCGAAGAUCAAUUUGUUGGAGAUAUGCGAGAUAUGCGAAGAUCAAUUUGGGAUCAUAAUUGAUCUAUAGUAUUGUUUCAAAAAUCAAUAUGGAAUUAGAUUUUGUUUUAUUUGAUUUCAUGUAUUGGGUCUUAUUUCUUCUUUAGUUAUAUAUCGAUUGUAUUAUAUUAAUAGGAGCGUAUUCUUGUAAAGGACAAUUCAUUCAAUACAGAAUACAGAUUUCUCCCAA
RNA transcript from Eucalyptus grandis, 4251 nucleotides. It is a transcript of the gene named disease resistance protein RPP4-like, with no coding region annotated. The transcript has 6 exons. The record is from RefSeq and is a predicted model, not a curated record. NCBI's taxonomy places the organism in Eukaryota, Viridiplantae, Streptophyta, Magnoliopsida, Myrtales, Myrtaceae.